RNAcentral lists this long non-coding RNA (221 nucleotides) under Elaeis guineensis (African oil palm). RNAcentral's name for it is "long non-coding RNA (EGUI_LNC053387)". Lineage: Eukaryota; Viridiplantae; Streptophyta; Magnoliopsida; Arecales; Arecaceae. The record is from RNAcentral.
AAACACUUUUUGUUGAGUAGGAUGGUAAAAGUAAUAUUCUAUACUCUCCUUGGGAUAACCCACAAAUCUGUAUUUUUCUAAUCUAGCAUGCAGCUUAUGCCCAUCAAUAUUUUUCAGAUAAGUCGGACAACCCCAAAUCUUAAGAUGCUUAAGAGAGGAUCUUUUCUCUUUUCAUAUUUCAUAUGAAGUGCUAGAAAUAUAUUUAGAAGGUACUUUAUGUA